UUGAAACCACUUUCUGCUAUCCCCAUGCCCGAUCUUGCGCCUGUCCAGAAAAAUGCCUUGAAGCUCAAUGACGAAGAGAAAAUGGCAAUAUAAAAAAAAUGAAAAUGGGUAAAUGUUGUAACAAAAACCACCUCCACAACAUUAACUCCUUCCACCCAAACUCCAAAGUAUACAACCUCCGAAACAAUCCAAGCCCCUGACUCCCGAAGUCCUGAAGUCGCUCUCGAAAAAAAGAAGAACCUGAGG
Molecule: long non-coding RNA, 246 nt
Filed under: Panax ginseng (ginseng)
Lineage: Eukaryota; Viridiplantae; Streptophyta; Magnoliopsida; Apiales; Araliaceae
Description: long non-coding RNA (PGIN_LNC007531)
Source: RNAcentral